GAAAUGCGAUACGCAAUGCGAAUUGCAGAAUUCCGCGAGUCAUCAGAUCUUUGAACGCAAAUGGCGCUAGACGUUAAACUCUAGCAUGUUUGUUUCAGUGUGUUAGGAAUCACAAAUCACAAUGCGAUUGACGGAAACUUAUACUUUCCCUCUCUCGUUAAACACGACGACGCCGAGCUUUUGCGCGGCCGAAAUGAAGUAGUCACUUCUUCGGAAAGUGAUCUCGUUUCGGAUACCGGCGAGCUCACAAAAGGCGUUGGUUAAUAAUAAUAACUUUCUCCACGACACCUGAAAUCAAGCAAGAUCACCCGCUGAACUUAA
Molecule: unclassified non-coding RNA, 321 nt
Filed under: uncultured fungus
Lineage: Eukaryota; Fungi
Description: sequence contains ITS1
Rfam family: 5.8S ribosomal RNA (bases 1-103)
Source: RNAcentral